RNAcentral lists this ribosomal RNA (1626 nucleotides) under Triticum aestivum (bread wheat). RNAcentral describes it as "partial small subunit ribosomal RNA". The record is from RNAcentral. Lineage: Eukaryota; Viridiplantae; Streptophyta; Magnoliopsida; Poales; Poaceae.
AUGAACCACGUACGCUCAUCCUCCACGGCGGAGACAUGCGCGCAGACGUACAGCUUCCUCCCCUGCACCACCACUGCGCUUGGCAACCUCUUCCUGGUUCUUGCCUACGGCAUCCUGAAUUACAAGGUGCGAGUUUCCUUCUUGACGGCCGGGAGCGACUUGCUGCUGGAGACCAUCGGCCCUGGCUAUGUCGGCCACGGCCACAUCGUCACGCUCCUGCUCCCGAUGCUCGGCGCCCUCCCCGACGCGCUCCUCGUGCUCGCAUCUGGCCUCUCGGGAAGCGGAGAAAAGGCACAAAAUCAGGUUCUGGUCGGAAUGGGUCUGCUUGCUGGCUCCACGAUCUUUCUUCUCACCGUCGUUUGGGGGACUUGUGUUUUUGCUGGCAAGUGUGACAUUGGGCCCAAUGGUGCUGCCAUUGAUUUAGAAGACAAUAAAGGGUGGUUCAGUUUUACUGGCAGUGGUAUUUCAACCGACGACGAAACCAGCUGGACGGCACGAAUCAUGGCGAUUUGUGUUAUUCCUUUCGCCAUUGCACUUUUCCCAAAAAUGUUGAGAACCCAGCCCGGGCAUCGCCUACCAAUCUUGCUGGCUAGCAUUGUAUCAUUCUUGCUUGCACUCUCCUACUGCAUGUUUCAGAUCUUCCUACCCUGGAUCCAGCGGAGGCGACUCGCGUUUGCAAAACAUAGGCAUGUAAUCUCUGGCAUACUAAAACAUGCCCAAAUGCAAGCGCUCGGACGUCUGCUAAACGACGAUGGCACGCCUAAUGAAAAUGUGAUAAGAAAAUUGUUCUACAAGAUUGACAAUGAUGGUAGCCGCGACCUGUCACGAGCUGAGCUGCAUGCCCUUAUCAUUGGAAUCAACUUUGAGGAGAUUGAUUUUGACAAGAAUGACGUCGUGGACAAAAUCAUGGACGACUUCGACACAUCAGGCAAUGACACAGUAGAUGAGGAAGAGUUCCUCGCAGGAAUGAAGAUAUGGAUAAAUGAGGCCAAGAGAAAGGUGCAGGCUUCGGGUGCGUAUGCUAACAAGUUCAUCAACGACUACCAUGAGUCCCAACAAGCGGUCUUGAUCCUGCAGAGAACACGGGAGGAACACGAUCAGCUGGCGGUAAGCGAUGAAGAGGUGGAGCCUGUGGAAAACCCCGGAAGAAUGAUUGUCAAGGCCGUGGGUCUCAUGCUUGUGGGUGCUGCCAUCCCUGCCGCGUUUGCGGACCCACUUGUCGACGCCAUAUACAGCCUGUCCAAGGCUACACACGUAUCGUCCUUCUUCGUCUCCUUCGUUGUGCUCCCGCUGGUGAACAACUCCAGCGAGGUCGUCUCUGCCGUCAGGUCCAUGAGAAAGAAGAAGCGAAGGAGCGCUUCCCUCGCUUUAUCGGAGGUGUACUGUGUUGUGACUGUGAACAACCUGAUGUGCUUGGGCAUGUUCCUGGCGCUGGUCUAUGCCCGGGACAUAACGUGGGACUUCUCCUCUGAGCUGCUCAUCAUUUUGCUUGUCUGCAUCGUCAUGGGCCUCUUCACGAGCUUCCGGACCAACUUCCCUCUGUGGACGUGCCUGGUGGCAUACUUGCUCUACCCACUGUCUCUCGUCCUCGUUCACAUUCUCGACUCGGUCUUCCAUUGGUCGUAA